RNAcentral lists this ribosomal RNA (492 nucleotides) under uncultured bacterium. Its description in RNAcentral is "partial 16S ribosomal RNA". It matches the Rfam family "Bacterial small subunit ribosomal RNA", at positions 29 to 507 of the family's 1533-position model. The record is from RNAcentral.
AGUGAACGCUGGCGGUAGGCCUAACACAUGCAAGUCGAACGGCAGCACAGUAAGAGCUUGCUCUUACGGGUGGCGAGUGGCGGACGGGUGAGGAAUACAUCGUACUCUACUUUUUCGUGGGGGAUAACGUAGGGAAACUUACGCUAAUACCGCAUACGACCUACGGGUGAAAGCAGGGGAUCUUCGGACCUUGCGCGAUUGAAUGCGCCGAUGUCGGAUUAGCUAGUUGGCGGGGUAAAGGCCCACCAAGGCGACGAUCCGUAGCUGGUCUGAGAGGAUGAUCAGCCACACUGGAACUGAGACACGGUCCAGACUCCUACGGGAGGCAGCAGUGGGGAAUAUUGGACAAUGGGCGCAAGCCUGAUCCAGCCAUACCGCGUGGGUGAAGAAGGCCUUCGGGUUGUAAAGCCCUUUUGUUGGGAAAGAAAAGCAGCAGGUUAAUACCCCGCUGUUCUGACGGUACCCAAAGAAUAAGCACCGGCUAACUUCGUG